This 465-nucleotide ribosomal RNA is filed under the name Vreelandella stevensii. RNAcentral describes it as "partial 16S ribosomal RNA". It matches the Rfam family "Bacterial small subunit ribosomal RNA", at positions 338 to 795 of the family's 1533-position model. The record is from RNAcentral. Lineage: Bacteria; Pseudomonadati; Pseudomonadota; Gammaproteobacteria; Oceanospirillales; Halomonadaceae.
CCUACGGGCGGCUGUAGUGGGGAAUAUUGGACAAUGGGGGCAACCCUGAUCCAGCCAUGCCGCGUGUGUGAAGAAGGCCCUCGGGUUGUAAAGCACUUUCAGUGAGGAAGAACGCCUGGUGGUUAAUACCCAUCAGGAAAGACAUCACUCACAGAAGAAGCACCGGCUAACUCCGUGCCAGCAGCCGCGGUAAUACGGAGGGUGCGAGCGUUAAUCGGAAUUACUGGGCGUAAAGCGCGCGUAGGUGGCUUGAUAAGCCGGUUGUGAAAGCCCCGGGCUCAACCUGGGAACGGCAUCCGGAACUGUCAAGCUAGAGUGCAGGAGAGGAAGGUAGAAUUCCCGGUGUAGCGGUGAAAUGCGUAGAGAUCGGGAGGAAUACCAGUGGCGAAGGCGGCCUUCUGGACUGACACUGACACUGAGGUGCGAAAGCGUGGGUAGCAAACAGGAUUAGAUACCCCUGUAGUC